Small nuclear RNA from Ictidomys tridecemlineatus (thirteen-lined ground squirrel), 105 nucleotides. NCBI's taxonomy places the organism in Eukaryota, Metazoa, Chordata, Mammalia, Rodentia, Sciuridae. The record is from Ensembl.
GUUUUGCUCUCUACAGCACAUACUAAAACUGAAAUGAUACUGAGAAGAUUAACAUGGCCCCUAAACAAGAAUGACACGAAAAUUUGUGAAGCAUUCCAUAUUUUU